RNAcentral lists this long non-coding RNA (266 nucleotides) under Setaria viridis. RNAcentral's name for it is "long non-coding RNA (SVIR_LNC000759)". The record is from RNAcentral. Lineage: Eukaryota; Viridiplantae; Streptophyta; Magnoliopsida; Poales; Poaceae.
GGAAACACUACAAGGAUUUGAUCCUUUUAGCACCACUUUUUUUCACAACACCACAUAUUUGGUUGCAAUAUUUAGUUCUAUGGCAACCAACGGCGUAAUUGGUAGUGAUAUAUGGGCCUUAUGACCACAAAAAUUGUGCGUUGCAUUAGUCAUAAGCUCUAUCGCAAUAUGGAGACGCUGAUGCUACGGUGGAAAAGGUGGUUGCGAGUAUGGGUUCCUAUUGCCACGACUAGUGUUGAGUUGUGAUAAUAUAGAUUUUGUGUUGC